GACGGAACGCUGGCGGCGUGCCUAACGACGAUGCAAGUCGAACGGGCUCUUGAUCGAGACUUCGGGUCAAGGUGAAGUCUGAGCUUAGUGGCGGACGGGUGAGUAACGCGUGAGCAACCUGCCUUUCAGAGGGGGACAACAGUUGGAAACGACUGCUAAUACCGCAUAAUGUGUUUUGGGGGCAUCCCUGAAAUACCAAAGAUUUAUCGCUGAAAGAUGGGCUCGCGUCUGAUUAGCUAGUUAGUGGGGUAACGGCCUACCAAGGCGACGAUCAGUAGCCGGACUGAGAGGUUGAACGGCCACAUUGGGACUGAGACACGGCCCAA
Molecule: ribosomal RNA, 326 nt
Filed under: uncultured bacterium
Lineage: Bacteria
Description: bacterial SSU rRNA
Rfam family: Bacterial small subunit ribosomal RNA
Source: RNAcentral